GACAGUGUGUCCGAGUGGUUAAGGAGGUUGACUUGAAAUCUACUAGACUAAGCCUGCGCAGGUUCGGAUCUUGCCGCUGUCG
RNAcentral lists this transfer RNA (82 nucleotides) under Perkinsus olseni. It matches the Rfam family "tRNA". From Rfam's summary of the family: Transfer RNA (tRNA) molecules are approximately 80 nucleotides in length. Their secondary structure includes four short double-helical elements and three loops (D, anti-codon, and T loops). Lineage: Eukaryota; Perkinsozoa; Perkinsida; Perkinsidae. The record is from Rfam by way of RNAcentral.